GAUGAAGAACGCAGCGAAAUGCGAUAAGUAAUGUGAAUUGCAGAAUUCAGUGAAUCAUCGAAUCUUUGAACGCACCUUGCGCCCUUUUGCUAUUCUGAAGGGCAUGCCUGUUUGAGUAUCGUGAACACCUCAACUCUCAUGGUCUGCCAUGAUGAGCUUGGACUUUGGGGGUCUUGCUGGCCUACUGUCAGCUCCUCUCAAAUGAAUCAGCUUACCAGUGUUUGGUGGCACCACAGGUGUGAUAACUAUCUACGCUUGUGGUUUUCUGCCAGGUAACCUCCAGUGAUGGAGGUUCGCUGGAGCUCACAAAUGUCUCUCCUCAGCGAGGACAGCUUUUUGAACGUUUGAUCUCAAAUCAGGUAGGACUACCCGCUGAACUUAAGCAUAUCAAUAAGCGGAGGA
This 402-nucleotide unclassified non-coding RNA is filed under the name soil metagenome. Its description in RNAcentral is "partial contains 5.8S ribosomal RNA, internal transcribed spacer 2, and large subunit ribosomal RNA". The stretch from base 1 to 121 matches the Rfam family "5.8S ribosomal RNA", at positions 35 to 154 of the family's 154-position model. The record is from RNAcentral.